Long non-coding RNA from Bubalus bubalis (water buffalo), 1054 nucleotides. RefSeq lists it as uncharacterized. Lineage: Eukaryota; Metazoa; Chordata; Mammalia; Artiodactyla; Bovidae. The transcript is spliced from 2 exons. The record is from RefSeq and is a predicted model, not a curated record.
AUGUAUUUUAGGGUCUUUGUGCUCUGAGACUGUGUUUGGAGUUGGAGAGAGAGAGAGGUGGACCAGUCCUUCUCGGGGCCGGGGUCUGUGGAACUGCUCUGCCUACGACUUGGCAGCCAAGGUCAUUGCCAGAAGAGGCCCGUGCCUCUCGACCCCAAUUCUCCAUUACUUACCCUGGGAAAGGUGGAAGAAGAAGCACCACCUGGUUAGGGGUGGCAAACACGCCAUUACCCCUAACUACAGUGCAGACAUUACUAAUGGAUCACAGUGCUCUGUCCAGGUGGGAUCUUAGCCUCUGCCUCCAGCUGAUGCUGUGGGCAGUCUCUGCCAGUCAAUCACGUUGAGGCCUCUUUGUCAUCCCUGGUUCCAGUCCUUCCUCCUCCCUGGAAUGGUGAACUAUUAGCACCAUCCUGAGGCCUUCUGGCAGGAAAUGAGGUGGAAGGCUGUCUGUGUGGUUCUCAGAAGCACCAUAGCUCUGAGGCGUUAGACAUACCUCCGCCCUCUGUGAAUGUGCCUUAGUUUCUUCUCCAAGCUGGAGGCGUUGUUGUGAGAAUCGGACCGGGAGGGGAAGAAUACAAUGUUUUCAAAAGGUAGAGGUAACCACAGAUGUAAGAUGUUUUUGCCUCUGAAGAAAGUGCGUAUUAGAUGCGUCUGGAUAUUAUGCAGAGUAAUUGUGCGUGGAAAGUUCUCUUCCCGGGGUGUUUUGCAGACUGAGACAUCAGAUGAUACCAGAACAAGGAGGAAUAAGAAAUGAAGAUGUAGAUCAGUGGAAAGUACUGUAAGAUCUGCAUUUAUGUGCUUGCUGUGAUGUGAGCUGCUGUCGUCAGGAAUCCCAGGGGGCUUACCAUUUGCUUCCCCAGGAGUAACUGUUGAGCAUGCAGGACCUUCAUUCCCUGACCAGCAAUCGAACCCAGUCCCCCAGUGAAAGUUUGGCAUCUCAACCACUGGACCGCCAGGGAAGUCCCAGAAAUAACACCUUAUAAACUAUGAAUUGCUGUGUUAAACAAAGGGGCAUGGCUGUCAUUACUAUGAAUAAAAGGAUGCAUAUUUGAAA